CCAGCCUUCAAGACUGGUCCCUUUUUGGCAGUGUCUCUCUUCAUCUAAUUUUUCUCUCAAAGGAAAGGAUGGGACAGGAACGGUAAAAAUUUUGAGAUAAUUACGGCCACCGAAAAUAGAAAAAUAUGUGCCGGAAGAGUUGUGGUCGGACUGACUGAUAUUCCCAAAGUCCACUACUUGACCUGCAUUCUAUAACUAAAUUAAUUACAGGUGACUAAAGUAGAGAGAGUACUGACAAUCCAGUAAGCUAUUGAGUCGUUACACAAAGAUGUAACGUACAUAAAUCUCAAUCCACAGUGGUUUUUUAUGGAUGCUUCUUCUUCGGUCCACGUACUACGGUACUAGUAACUGAAAGAACCAUAGAAUACUGGCGUCUUGAAGCAGAAGAAAGUGUUAUUGCGAUAUACGAAGAGGUAGCUCUAAGUGGAAGCUCUACUGCUUUUAUGCAACAGUCAGUGCCCCCAAUACCAUGGAUCAGUCUCAUGGACAUAUAUAUGGUUUCUGAGGUGCUGGCUACAUUUCACGGUGAAAGGCGAGAUAGUCCCCGUGGCAUCCAAAUAGGCCCAAUAGACAAUAGGGGUUCCUGAUACGGAUACCAGUACAGACCUGAAUUAUAAAUAUGAAACAUAUUAAUCUUCAUCGGUACAUUUAAAUAUACCCUGUAUAUUCAAACAAUUUCGUGAAUAUGAAAAUUUAUAUGUCGUCAUUAUGAUUUGUAUUUAAGCUAAACCAAAUUCCCUAAAAAAAACUAACAUAGCUAUGUUAGAGAAGCCUUGGUAUAGGUUUCAAAUCCAAUUGCUUGUGAUUAUCCAUAUUUAAAUCCAUGAAUUUUUGUUGAUAAAUAUUUGAAAAUCACCUAGGGGUGUGUAAUAUUCAUA
Daphnia pulicaria is the source of this 878-nucleotide long non-coding RNA. RefSeq lists it as uncharacterized. The transcript is spliced from 3 exons. The record is from RefSeq and is a predicted model, not a curated record. NCBI's taxonomy places the organism in Eukaryota, Metazoa, Arthropoda, Branchiopoda, Diplostraca, Daphniidae.